This 731-nucleotide ribosomal RNA is filed under the name uncultured bacterium. Its description in RNAcentral is "bacterial SSU rRNA". It matches the Rfam family "Bacterial small subunit ribosomal RNA", at positions 771 to 1501 of the family's 1533-position model. The record is from RNAcentral.
AACAGGAUUAGAUACCCUGGUAGUCCACGCUGUAAACGAUGUCGACUUGGAGGUUGUGCCCUUGAGGCGUGGCUUCCGGAGCUAACGCGUUAAGUCGACCGCCUGGGGAGUACGGCCGCAAGGUUAAAACUCAAAUGAAUUGACGGGGGCCCGCACAAGCGGUGGAGCAUGUGGUUUAGUUCGAUGCAACGCGAAGAACCUUACCUACUCUUGACUUCCAGAGAAUUUGCUAGAGAUAGCUUAGUGCCUUCGGGAACUCUGAGACAGGUGCUGCAUGGCUGUCGUCAGCUCGUGUUGUGAAAUGUUGGGUUAAGUCCCGCAACGAGCGCAACCCUUAUCCUUUGUUGCCAGCACGUAAUGGUGGGAACUCAAAGGAGACUGCCGGUGAUAAACCGGAGGAAGGUGGGGAUGACGUCAAGUCAUCAUGGCCCUUACGAGUAGGGCUACACACGUGCUACAAUGGCAUAUACAAAGAGAAGCGAACUCGCGAGAGCAAGCGGACCUCAUAAAGUAUGUCGUAGUCCGGAUUGGAGUCUGCAACUCGACUCCAUGAAGUCGGAAUCGCUAGUAAUCGUGGAUCAGAAUGCCACGGUGAAUACGUUCCCGGGCCUUGUACACACCGCCCGUCACACCAUGGGAGUGGGUUGCAAAAGAAGUAGGUAGCUUAACCUUCGGGAGGGCGCUUACCACUUUGUGAUUCAUGACUGGGGUGAAGUCGUAACAAGGUAACC